CAGCCGCCGCGGGAAUACGUAGGUCCCGAGCGUUGUCCGGAUUUAUUGGGCGUAAAGGGAGCGCAGGCGGUUUAGUAAGUCUGAAGUUAAAGGCUGUGGCUUAACCAUAGUACGCUUUGGAAACUGUUUAACUUGAGUGCAAGAGGGGAGAGUGGAAUUCCAUGUGUAGCGGUGAAAUGCGUAGAUAUAUGGAGGAACACCGGUGGCGAAAGCGGCUCUCUGGCUUGUAACUGAUGCUGAGGCUCGAAAGCGUGGGGAGCAAACAGGAUUAGAUACCCCAGUAGUCCCUGUCUCUUAUACA
This 301-nucleotide ribosomal RNA is filed under the name uncultured bacterium. RNAcentral describes it as "partial 16S ribosomal RNA". It matches the Rfam family "Bacterial small subunit ribosomal RNA", at positions 509 to 808 of the family's 1533-position model. The record is from RNAcentral.